This 425-nucleotide ribosomal RNA is filed under the name uncultured bacterium. RNAcentral's name for it is "partial 16S ribosomal RNA". It matches the Rfam family "Bacterial small subunit ribosomal RNA", at positions 354 to 796 of the family's 1533-position model. The record is from RNAcentral.
GUGGGGAAUAUUGGGCAAUGGGCGAAAGCCUGACCCAGCAACGCCGCGUGAAGGAAGAAGGUUUUCGGAUCGUAAACUUCUAUCCUUGGUGAAGAUAAUGACGGUAGCCAAGAAGGAAGCCCCGGCUAACUACGUGCCAGCAGCCGCGGUAAUACGUAGGGGGCAAGCGUUGUCCGGAAUGAUUGGGCGUAAAGGGCGCGUAGGCGGCCCGGUAAGUCUGAAGUGAAAGUCCUGCUUUUAAGGUGGGAAUUGCUUUGGAUACUGUCGGGCUUGAGUACAGGAGAGGUAAGCGGAAUUCCCGGUGUAGCAGUGAAAUGCGUAGAGAUCGGGAGGAACACCAGUGGCGAAGGCGGCUUACUGGACUGUAACUGACGCUGAGGCGCGAAAGUGUGGGGAGCAAACAGGAUUAGAAACCCUUGUAGUCC